UUGGAGGGCAAGUCUGGUGCCAGCAGCCGCGGUAAUUCCAGCUCCAAUAGCGUAUAUUAAAGUUGUUGCAGUUAAAAAGCUCGUAGUUGAAUUUCGGGGUUAGUAGGUUGGUCGUGCCUCAGGUAUGUACUGAUCUCACUGAUUCCUCCUUCCUGAUGAACCGUAAUGCCAUUAAUUUGGUGUUGCGGGGAAACUGGACUGUUACUUUGAAAAAAUUAGAGUGUUUAAAGCAGGCUAACGCUUGAAUACAUUAGCAUGGAAUAAUGAAAUAGGACGUUCGAUCCUAUUUUGUUGGUUUCUAGGAUUGACGUAAUGAUUAAUAGGGAUAGUUGGGGGCAUUAGUAUUCAAUUGUCAGAGGUGAAAUUCUUGGAUUUAUUGAAGACUAACUACUGCGAAAGCAUUUGCCAAGGAUGUUUUCAUUAAUCAAGAACGAAAGUUAGGGGAUCGAAGACGAUCAGAUACCGUCGUAGUCUUAACCAUAAACUAUGCCGACUAGGGAUCGGACGAUGUUAACUUUUCUUGACUCGUUCGGCGCCUUACGGGAAA
This 547-nucleotide ribosomal RNA is filed under the name uncultured Glomeromycotina. Its description in RNAcentral is "SSU rRNA". It matches the Rfam family "Eukaryotic small subunit ribosomal RNA", at positions 548 to 1097 of the family's 1831-position model. The record is from RNAcentral. Lineage: Eukaryota; Fungi; Glomeromycota.